CCUACGGGAUGCAGCAGUGGGGAAUAUUGGACAAUGGGGGGAACCCUGAACCAGCGACGUCGCGUGAGUGAAGAAGUCUCUAGGUAUGUUAAGCUUUAUCAGCAGGGAAGAAAAUGACGGUACCUGACUAAGAAGCCCCGGCUAACUACGUGCCAGCAGCCGCGGUAAUAUGUAGGGGGCCAGCGUUAUCCGGAUUUACUGGGUGUAAAGGGUGCGUAGACGGGUCAGCAAGUCUGAUGUGAAAGGUCGGGGCCCAACCCCGGGACUGCCUUGGAUACUGUUGAACUGGAGUACAGGAGAGGUAAGCGGAAUUCGUAGUGUAGCGGUGAAAUGCGUAGAUAUUAGGAAGAACACCAGUGGCGAAGGCGGCUUACUGGACUGUAACUGACGUUGAGGCUCGAAAGCGUGGGGAGCAAACAGGAUUAGAUACCCUUGUAGUC
This 440-nucleotide ribosomal RNA is filed under the name uncultured bacterium. RNAcentral's name for it is "partial 16S ribosomal RNA". It matches the Rfam family "Bacterial small subunit ribosomal RNA", at positions 338 to 795 of the family's 1533-position model. The record is from RNAcentral.